AUUGAACGCUGGCGGCAGGCCUAACACAUGCAAGUCGAGCGUGAAAAGUCCUUCGGGAUGAGUAAAGCGGCGGACGGGUGAGUAACGCGUAGGAAUCUACCUAAUAGUGGGGGAUAACGUUUCGAAAGGAACGCUAAUACCGCAUACGUUCUGAGGAAGAAAGCAGGGGAUCGCAAGACCCUUGCGCUAUUAGAUGAGCCUGCGUCCGAUUAGCUAGUUGGUGGGUAAAGGCCUACCAAGGCGACGAUCGGUAACUGGUCUGAGAGGGAUGAUCAGUCACACUGGAACUGAGACACGGUCCAGACUCCUAC
RNAcentral lists this ribosomal RNA (311 nucleotides) under uncultured bacterium. RNAcentral describes it as "bacterial SSU rRNA". It matches the Rfam family "Bacterial small subunit ribosomal RNA", at positions 30 to 342 of the family's 1533-position model. The record is from RNAcentral.